This is a long non-coding RNA of Oncorhynchus tshawytscha (Chinook salmon), 279 nucleotides long. The record is from Ensembl. Lineage: Eukaryota; Metazoa; Chordata; Actinopteri; Salmoniformes; Salmonidae.
GGGGAAGCCUGAGUUUCUUCUCGUGAAAGAAGGAAAAAUGUAUAGGAAAUAGGCCUGUCAACGAACAGAGACUGGAUUUGUACGGUUUUAAGCUAUAUCAAGGAAAUAACUUACUUAUUUCAACCAAGACACAUCAGGAAAUAGUCGUUCCUCGGACGUUCUCUGCCAGAAUUAGAUUGAGAGAAGAGGACGACGAAAACGCUUACAGAAACACCCACCACCAAAGGACCAAGCAGCGUGGUGACGAGAGGCAGCGAUACCUGGAGAACUGGACUUGGG